UGUCACUCCUUCCUAAACCCAAACCCUUUCCUCUGAAUAUGCCCCAGAAGCUGCAGCCUCUCGCUAGUAAUGCACUGCCUCUGCCUUCUUAGCUCCUCCAGCUCUGCCUGCUGAAACCCUAUUGCCUUUAAUGUUGUCUCUCCUUGCCUGCUACCUGCUGCUGUCAUACUACUGCCUGCCAGGUUCAGCCAUAAAUGCCAAAACCACGGACUUGAGCUCAUGGGAACUACAGAAGAAUUGGCUCAGUUUCCACUUCCUACAAGUGUGCCCAGAUGGGAUGCUGGGAGAAGAAAAGGACAUAUCAGAGGAAAAACUGGAUCUGUGCUAGCUCCCUUCAAGAGCUUUGUUUGUUGGUUUGGAGCAGCUUUUUGGAGUUGUGAAAGCUGUUCCACUUGAAGAGCAAAUGUCUGGAAUGUCUCAGGACUACAUUUUGCUGCAGCAACCCCUGUCACACUGCAAGUGUGUUGUGUGGAGCCCAUGCCACUGCUCUGCCAUGCUGUCUCUGGACACAGAGAAUGAUUGUUUGCACAUUUCAUUGAGAUCGCAUGGAGAUAGGACAACUCAAGCUGCCACUGGGACCUGAAGUUUUCACAGAGAAGGUCCUACCACAGGCAGCUGCUCUCCAGACACACUUCUGAUGCCAGCUAUGACUCUGUGGGUUUAAGGACGAGCAGCUUCUUCCUAUACAAAGCCUUGUAAAUGAGAACAAACCGUCAAAGCUGUGUGUGGAGCACCAGUACUAUGCGUAGA
This is a long non-coding RNA of Melopsittacus undulatus (budgerigar), 750 nucleotides long. RefSeq lists it as uncharacterized. The transcript has 3 exons. The record is from RefSeq and is a predicted model, not a curated record. NCBI's taxonomy places the organism in Eukaryota, Metazoa, Chordata, Aves, Psittaciformes, Psittaculidae.